AGAUGGUGCCUAUGCUGUUGGUCUACAGGCUGUAUUUUAUAUAGCAGGGUUUGGUACAAUCUUUCUCAACCAGACCUGGAAGAGAAGUAGGUUCUAAUGUCCUAAUAAUAUAUUUUCUGUAAUGAAUUAAUUUUAUUUCAGUAUGCCUAGAAUGGUGUGUGAUAUGUACCAUCCUUAAGAGAACUGUGAAAAUAGUCGUUAAAUCAUGUUUUGUUUCUUCUGUGCUUGGGUUGAAGCUCAUAUCAAUUAGGAUUAAAUUCAGGUUUAACCAACCAGAAGUCUGUGCAAUGAUUUAGAUACACAAGAAUUAUCUAUCUUAACAGAGAGAAGCAGGGGUUAGUAGUCCAGGGUUCCAGAGAAUUUUGUUUUUUUCUUCUUCCGUUGUUCUCAGAGUGUACAGGCCAGGUCUUGUGUAUGUUGUCUCAGGUUGUAACAUGGCUGCUGCUCUGCAAGCUCACAUCCACUAUCCAGGCUGAAGCCAGAAGAAGUGGGAAGAGAAAAACCAAAGGACAGUGCCCUCUGUAAACCACUUUUAAAAAACGUUUCUCAGCAGCUACUCUUUAGAGGUAUGAUGGAUCUCCCCACAAAGUCUGGUUCAGGUGUCAAGACCUACACACCAAGAAACGAUGAGAAGAAUUAUCAUUCACAUGAGACUUUCUGGGGCAAGCAGAGUGGCUACCAAACAGGUCUUAAAAUGGCUUGAGAAAUCCAGCCAAUAUUGGUGAGUUGUAUUUUUGUGCCAUUUUUUUCAAAUUAAAUUUAUUCAUAUGAAGUUGUUCAUAAUAUUCUCCUGUUAUAUUUUAGCUAUUUGUAGAAUCUACAUUCUUGAUAUUGGUAAUGUUUUGUUCUCUACUUAUACCUUGAACAAUAUUGCUUAGUUAGAUCUUCAUCAAUUGUAUUAGUUUUCCUUGGUCCAACUUUUGACUUUAUUCAUUUUCCCUUUUGAAUACUUGUUUUCUAUUUUAUUAAUUUCUGCUGUAAUUUUGUAUAAUGUCUUCGCUUUUCCAAGUUUGAAUUGCUUUUCUUUUUCUUCCUCAAGAACAUAGUGUGUUUCAUAAACGUUGUGAUAUGGUUUGGCUCUGUCCCCACCCAAAUCUCAUCUUGAAUUCCUAUAUGUUGUGGGAGGGACCCAAUGGGAGGUAACUGGAUGUGGGGGCCAGUCUUUCCCAUGGUGUUCUCUUGGUGGUGGGUGGGUCUCAUUAGAUAUGAUGGUAUCAUAAGGGGGAGUUUCCCUGCACAAACUCUUUUUUCUUUGCCUGCUGCCAUCCAUGUAAGAUGUGACUUGCCCCUCCUUGCCUUCUGCCAUUAUUGUGAGGCUUCUCCAGCCAUGUGAAACAGUAAAUCCAUAUUAAACCUCUUUCUUUUGCAAACUGCCCAGUCUUAGGUAUGUCUUUAUAAGCAGCAUGAAUAUUGACUAAUAUAUGUCACAUGUGUACUUGAAAAAAUGUAUGAAUCAUAUUGUUAUUGGAUGCAAUAUUCUUCAUAAGUCCAUUAGGUCAAGUUUCAAAUAUUUUUGUUUAUAUAUUGUAUAUUCUUUCUGAUAUUUUUUCCUACUUGGGCAGUUAACUAAUGAGUGAGAUAUAUUAAAGUCUAGGUGUCUGCUGAUUUGUCUAUUCCUCUUUUAGUUCUGUCAAAUUUUGCUAUAUAUGGUUUUAAGGUAUGUUUUAUGUGAUUCAGAUUUAGGAUUAUGGUAUCUUCAGUUGAUCCUUUUUCAUUACAAAAUGUCCCUGUUUUCCCAUAGUCUAUUUUGUCUACUAUUAUUACAGCUUUAUCAGCUUUAUUUUUGUUGAUAUUUGCUCGUGUGUUGUAUUACUUUUAUAUUCAACCUUGUAUAUUCUUAUAUUUAAAGAGUAACUUUUCAAAGCACCAUGAAGUUGGAUUUUGUCUUGUUUAUUCUAAUCUGACAAUCUUUGAGGACUACAAAGAGUAGUCAAUUUGCUUCGAAUGUAAUUACUGACACAUAUAGAGUUCUAUUUAGCCU
RNAcentral lists this long non-coding RNA (1981 nucleotides) under Homo sapiens (human). RNAcentral's name for it is "non-protein coding lnc-ANKRD50-2:5". Lineage: Eukaryota; Metazoa; Chordata; Mammalia; Primates; Hominidae. The record is from RNAcentral.